This 503-nucleotide ribosomal RNA is filed under the name Salmonella enterica subsp. enterica serovar Enteritidis. Its description in RNAcentral is "bacterial LSU rRNA". It matches the Rfam family "Bacterial large subunit ribosomal RNA", at positions 350 to 856 of the family's 2925-position model. The record is from RNAcentral. Lineage: Bacteria; Pseudomonadati; Pseudomonadota; Gammaproteobacteria; Enterobacterales; Enterobacteriaceae.
GCGCGCGAUAGAGGGUGACAGCCCCGUACACAAAAGCGCAUGUGCGGUGAGCGCGAUGAGUAUGGCGGGACACGUGGUAUCCUGUCUGAAUAUGGGGGGACCAUCCUCCAAGGCUAAAUACUCCUGACUGACCGAUAGUGAACCAGUACCGUGAGGGAAAGGCGAAAAGAACCCCGGCGAGGGGAGUGAAAAAGAACCUGAAACCGUGUACGUACAAGCAGUGGGAGCACAGGUUUACCUGUGUGACUGCGUACCUUUUGUAUAAUGGGUCAGCGACUUAUAUUCUGUAGCAAGGUUAACCGAAUAGGGGAGCCGGAGGGAAACCGAGUCUUAAUUGGGCGUUAAGUUGCAGGGUAUAGACCCGAAACCCGGUGAUCUAGCCAUGGGCAUGUUGAAGGUUGGGUAACACUAACUGGAGGACCGAACCGAAUAAUGUUGAAAUUUUAGCGGAUGACCUGUGGCUGGGGGUGAGCGGCCAAUCACCGCGGGAGAUAGCUGGGUCU